This 491-nucleotide ribosomal RNA is filed under the name uncultured bacterium. RNAcentral describes it as "partial 16S ribosomal RNA". It matches the Rfam family "Bacterial small subunit ribosomal RNA", at positions 29 to 506 of the family's 1533-position model. The record is from RNAcentral.
AGUGAACGCUGGCGGUAGGCCUAACACAUGCAAGUCGAACGGCAGCACAGUAAGAGCCUGCUCUUACGGGUGGCGAGUGGCGGACGGGUGAGGAAUACAUCGGAAUCUACUUUUUCGUGGGGGAUAACGUAGGGAAACUUACGCUAAUACCGCAUACGACCUACGGGUGAAAGCAGGGGAUCUUCGGACCUUGCGCGAUUGAAUGAGCCGAUGUCGGAUUAGCUAGUUGGCGGGGUAAAGGCCCACCAAGGCGACGAUCCGUAGCUGGUCUGAGAGGAUGAUCAGCCACACUGGAACUGAGACACGGUCCAGACUCCUACGGGAGGCAGCAGUGGGGAAUAUUGGACAAUGGGCGCAAGCCUGAGCCAGCAAUACCGCGUGGGUGAAGAAGGCCUUCGGGUUGUAAAGCCCUUUUGUUGGGAAAGAAAAGCAGCAGGUUAAUACCCCGCUGUUCUGACGGUACCCAAAGAAUAAGCACCGGCUAACUUCGU